Molecule: transfer RNA, 143 nt
Filed under: Negativicoccus succinicivorans
Lineage: Bacteria; Bacillati; Bacillota; Negativicutes; Veillonellales; Veillonellaceae
Description: tRNA-OTHER
Rfam family: transfer-messenger RNA
About the family: Bacterial tmRNA, also known as 10Sa RNA or SsrA, is named for its dual tRNA and mRNA-like properties.
Source: RNAcentral
ACGUUAGCGGAAACUCUUCAGUCUAGCGGCGGUCGGCUUGUUCAUGAGCGAAGCCGUUGCGAAAUCCCGAUCAUGAACUGCACCCGGAGCGGUUGUUAGGGCAAUACUUUUGGACAGGGGUUCGACUCCCCUCGUCUCCACCA